This 25-nucleotide transfer RNA is filed under the name Lepidophyma sylvaticum. RNAcentral's name for it is "partial tRNA-Ser". The record is from RNAcentral. Lineage: Eukaryota; Metazoa; Chordata; Lepidosauria; Squamata; Xantusiidae.
AAGGAGUGUAUGACACAAAAAGAGC